GGUUAAGCGACUAAGCGUACACGGUGGAUGCCCUGGCAGUCAGAGGCGAUGAAGGACGUGCUAAUCUGCGAUAAGCGCCGGUAAGGUGAUAUGAACCGUUAUAACCGGCGAUUUCCGAAUGGGGAAACCCAGUGUGAUUCGUCACACUAUCAUUAACUGAAUCCAUAGGUUAAUGAGGCGAACCGGGGGAACUGAAACAUCUAAGUACCCCGAGGAAAAGAAAUCAACCGAGAUUCCCCCAGUAGCGGCGAGCGAACGGGGAGGAGCCCAGAGCCUGAAUCAGCAUGUGUGUUAGUGGAAGCGUCUGGAAAGGCGCGCGAUACAGGGUGACAGCCCCGUACACAAAAGCGCAUGUGCUGUGAGCUCGAUGAGUAGGGCGGGACACGUGGUAUCCUGUCUGAAUAUGGGGGGACCAUCCUCCAAGGCUAAAUACUCCUGACUGACCGAUAGUGAACCAGUACCGUGAGGGAAAGGCGAAAAGAACCCCGGCGAGGGGAGUGAAAAAGAACCUGAAACCGUGUACGUACAAGCAGUGGGAGCACCCUUCGGGGUGUGACUGCGUACCUUUUGUAUAAUGGGUCAGCGACUUAUAUUCUGUAGCAAGGUUAACCGUAUAGGGGAGCCGGAGGGAAACCGAGUCUUAACCGGGCGUUAAGUUGCAGGGUAUAGACCCGAAACCCGGUGAUCUAGCCAUGGGCAGGUUGAAGGUUGGGUAACACUAACUGGAGGACCGAACCGACUAAUGUUGAAAAAUUAGCGGAUGACCUGUGGCUGGGGGUGAAAGGCCAAUCAAACCGGGAGAUAGCUGGUUCUCCCCGAAAGCUAUUUAGGUAGCGCCUCGUGAAUUCAUCUCCGGGGGUAGAGCACUGUUUCGGCUAGGGGGCCAUCCCGGCUUACCAACCCGAUGCAAACUGCGAAUACCGGAGAAUGUUAUCACGGGAGACACACGGCGGGUGCUAACGUCCGUCGUGAAGAGGGAAACAACCCAGACCGCCAGCUAAGGUCCCAAAGUCAUGGUUAAGUGGGAAACGAUGUGGGAAGGCCCAGACAGCCAGGAUGUUGGCUUAGAAGCAGCCAUCAUUUAAAGAAAGCGUAAUAGCUCACUGGUCGAGUCGGCCUGCGCGGAAGAUGUAACGGGGCUAAACCAUGCACCGAAGCUGCGGCAGCGAACGUAUCACUUAAAGCGAUUCAGCGGGUUACGAUUGACGGAGCGAAGCGACGUCAAAGCGUAUACAAAGUCGAGUCGGUUUAAGGAUACGUUCGUUGGGUAGGGGAGCGUUCUGUAAGCCCGUGAAGGUGGCCUGUGAGGGUUGCUGGAGGUAUCAGAAGUGCGAAUGCUGACAUAAGUAACGAUAAAGCGGGUGAAAAGCCCGCUCGCCGGAAGACCAAGGGUUCCUGUCCAACGUUAAUCGGGGCAGGGUGAGUCGACCCCUAAGGCGAGGCCGAAAGGCGUAGUCGAUGGGAAACGGGUUAAUAUUCCCGUACUUGGUGUUACUGCGAAGGGGGGACGGAGAAGGCUAUGUUGGCCGGGCGACGGUUGUCCCGGUUUAAGCGUGUAGGUGUGUGUUCCAGGUAAAUCCGGUUCACUUUAACACUGAGGCGUGACGACGAGGCACUACGGUGCUGAAGCAACAAAUGCCCUGCUUCCAGGAAAAGCCUCUAAGCAUCAGGUAACACGAAAUCGUACCCCAAACCGACACAGGUGGUCAGGUAGAGAAUACCAAGGCGCUUGAGAGAACUCGGGUGAAGGAACUAGGCAAAAUGGUGCCGUAACUUCGGGAGAAGGCACGCUGACACGUAGGUGAAGUGAUUUACUCAUGGAGCUGAAGUCAGUCGAAGAUACCAGCUGGCUGCAACUGUUUAUUAAAAACACAGCACUGUGCAAACACGAAAGUGGACGUAUACGGUGUGACGCCUGCCCGGUGCCGGAAGGUUAAUUGAUGGGGUCAGCGCAAGCGAAGCUCCUGAUCGAAGCCCCGGUAAACGGCGGCCGUAACUAUAACGGUCCUAAGGUAGCGAAAUUCCUUGUCGGGUAAGUUCCGACCUGCACGAAUGGCGUAAUGAUGGCCAGGCUGUCUCCACCCGAGACUCAGUGAAAUUGAACUCGCUGUGAAGAUGCAGUGUACCCGCGGCAAGACGGAAAGACCCCGUGAACCUUUACUAUAGCUUGACACUGAACAUUGAGCCUUGAUGUGUAGGAUAGGUGGGAGGCUUUGAAGUGUGGACGCCAGUCUGCAUGGAGCCGACCUUGAAAUACCACCCUUUAAUGUUUGAUGUUCUAACGUGGACCCGUAAUCCGGGUUGCGGACAGUGUCUGGUGGGUAGUUUGACUGGGGCGGUCUCCUCCUAAAGAGUAACGGAGGAGCACGAAGGUUGGCUAAUCCUGGUCGGACAUCAGGAGGUUAGUGCAAUGGCAUAAGCCAGCUUGACUGCGAGCGUGACGGCGCGAGCAGGUGCGAAAGCAGGUCAUAGUGAUCCGGUGGUUCUGAAUGGAAGGGCCAUCGCUCAACGGAUAAAAGGUACUCCGGGGAUAACAGGCUGAUACCGCCCAAGAGUUCAUAUCGACGGCGGUGUUUGGCACCUCGAUGUCGGCUCAUCACAUCCUGGGGCUGAAGUAGGUCCCAAGGGUAUGGCUGUUCGCCAUUUAAAGUGGUACGCGAGCUGGGUUUAGAACGUCGUGAGACAGUUCGGUCCCUAUCUGCCGUGGGCGCUGGAGAACUGAGGGGGGCUGCUCCUAGUACGAGAGGACCGGAGUGGACGCAUCACUGGUGUUCGGGUUGUCAUGCCAAUGGCACUGCCCGGUAGCUAAAUGCGGAAGAGAUAAGUGCUGAAAGCAUCUAAGCACGAAACUUGCCCCGAGAUGAGUUCUCCCUGAGACUUAGAGUCUCCUGAAGGAACGUUGAAGACGACGACGUUGAUAGGCCGGGUGUGUAAGCGCAGCGAUGCGUUGAGCUAACCGGUACUAAUGAACCGUGAGGCUUAACCUU
Molecule: ribosomal RNA, 2987 nt
Filed under: Salmonella enterica
Lineage: Bacteria; Pseudomonadati; Pseudomonadota; Gammaproteobacteria; Enterobacterales; Enterobacteriaceae
Also listed under: 1 other name
Description: 23S ribosomal RNA
Rfam family: Bacterial large subunit ribosomal RNA
Source: RNAcentral